This 254-nucleotide ribosomal RNA is filed under the name uncultured bacterium. RNAcentral's name for it is "partial 16S ribosomal RNA". It matches the Rfam family "Bacterial small subunit ribosomal RNA", at positions 524 to 776 of the family's 1533-position model. The record is from RNAcentral.
UACGGGGGGAGCAAGCGUUGUUCGGAUUUACUGGGCGUAAAGGGCGCGUAGGCGGUCAGCACAAGUCAGUUGUGAAAUCUCCGGGCUUAACUCGGAAAGGUCAACUGAUACUGUGCGACUAGAGUGCAGAAGGGGCAACUGGAAUUCUCGGUGUAGCGGUGAAAUGCGCAGAUAUCGGGAGGAACACCGAUGGCGAAGGCAGGUCUCUGGGCUGACACUGACGCUCAUGCACGAAAGCGUGGGGAGCAAACAGG